GAAGAAGGUGAUAUGUUACUUUUCUACUGGAACAAAAGAAGAUGUACGAACCGAUGCUGGCCAGUUCCCAUCCGAUGGACUUGGAGUUCCUAAUAAGGAUUGGCCAGGCGAGACGUGGGUUGACAUCAGAAAUAGUCAGGUAAGACGUAUAAUGAGAGAUCGGAUUGAACAUGCAAAAUUCAGCCAUUGUGAUGGUGUAGAUCCGGAUAAUGUAAAUGCGCGGGAAGAUAAUCAGACUGGUACUUCAUUUAACAGCAGAUGAUCAAUUGGACUAUAACAGAUAUUUGGCGAGAGUGGCACAUGGAAACGGUUUAGCUAUAGGACUGACAAAUGAUAAAAGACAACUUAGUGACCUGGUAGACGACUUUGACUUCGCCAUAACUAACAUAUCCUGUAUGGAUUCUGACCACGAAUGUUACCGGUACAAACCUUUUUUUGAUGCUAGAAAGGUAUACAGAAAAUAUAUUACAUUUAUAAUUGCCUUGUUAAGAUAGACAGCUUUACAUAUCAAACCAAUAACGGAAAAUGCACAAUAUAAUAUAACAGUUUGUAUCAUCACCGAUCUGCAUAUAAA
This is a long non-coding RNA of Mytilus californianus (California mussel), 574 nucleotides long. RefSeq lists it as uncharacterized. The transcript has 3 exons. Lineage: Eukaryota; Metazoa; Mollusca; Bivalvia; Mytilida; Mytilidae. The record is from RefSeq and is a predicted model, not a curated record.